AGAGUUUGAUCCUGGCUCAGAUUGAACGCUGGCGGCAUGCCUUACACAUGCAAGUCGAACGCGAAAGCGGGGCAACCCGCAAGUAGAGUGGCGAACGGGUGAGUAAUACAUCGGAACAUGUCCAGUAGCGGGGGAUAACCUGUCGAAAGAUAGGCUAAUACCGCAUACGAUCUACGGAUGAAAGCAGGGGACCGCAAGGCCUUGCACUAUUGGAGUGGCCGAUGUCGGAUUAGCUAGUUGGUGAGGUAAAGGCUUACCAAGGCGACGAUCCGUAGCUGGUCUGAGAGGACGAUCAGCCACACUGGAACUGAGACACGGUCCAGACUCCUACGGGAGGCAGCAGUGGGAAUUUUGGACAAUGGGCGCAAGCCUGAUCCAGCCAUGCCGCGUGAGUGAAGAAGGCCUUCGGGUUGUAAAGCUCUUUCGGCGGGGACGAAACGGUUCGCACCAAUACUGCGGACUAAUGACGGUACCCGCAUAAGAAGCACCGGCUAACUACGUGCCAGCAGCCGCGGUAAUACGUAGGGUGCAGGCGUUAAUCGGAAUUACUGGGCGUAAAGCGUGCGCAGGCGGUCUGUUAAGACAGGUGUGAAAUCCCCGAGCUCAACUUGGGAAUUGCGCUUGUAACUGGCAGGCUAGAGUGUGGCAGAGGGGGGUGGAAUUCCAGGUGUAGCAGUGAAAUGCGUAGAUAUCUGGAGGAACACCGAUGGCGAAAGCAGCCCCCUGGGUUAACACUGACGCUCAGCACGAAAGCGUGGGGAGCAAACAGGAUUAGAUACCCUGGUAGUCCACGCCCUAAA
RNAcentral lists this ribosomal RNA (800 nucleotides) under uncultured bacterium. RNAcentral's name for it is "bacterial SSU rRNA". It matches the Rfam family "Bacterial small subunit ribosomal RNA", at positions 8 to 806 of the family's 1533-position model. The record is from RNAcentral.